Xiphophorus couchianus (Monterrey platyfish) is the source of this 551-nucleotide long non-coding RNA. RefSeq lists it as uncharacterized. The record is from RefSeq and is a predicted model, not a curated record. Lineage: Eukaryota; Metazoa; Chordata; Actinopteri; Cyprinodontiformes; Poeciliidae. The transcript has 2 exons.
GUCCCGACUCAGAGGUAGGUCCUGACUCCGAGGCAGGUCCCGACUCGGAGGCAGGUCCCGACUCGGAGGCAGGUCCCGACUCUGAGGCCGGUCCUGACUCUGAGGCAGGUCCAGACUUGGAGGUUGUUCCAGACUCAGAGGCAGGUCCAGACUCGGAGGCCGGUCCUGACUCGGAGGCAGGUCCCGACUCUGAGGCCGGUCCUGACACUGAGGCCUGUCCUGAGUCAGAGGCAGGUCCUGACUCGGAGGCAGGUCCAGACUUGGAGGUUGUUCCAGACUCAGAGGCAGGUCCAGACUCGGAGGCCGGUCCUGACUCGGAGGCAGGUCCCGACUCUGAGGCCGGUCCUGACACUGAGGCCUGUCCUGAGUCAGAGGCAGGUCCUGACUCUGAGGCAGGUCCAGACUCGGAGGUCGGUCCUGACUCGGAGGUUGGCUCUACGUCUGGUCCUCUGUAAAAGGGUUCUUGAGUCUGAACAAUGUCCGAAUCGUCUCCACAGCAGACAGCAUGUUGAAUCCACUUCCAAGCCUUUCUGAGAUAGUCUUUCUGAAAA